UCAGACGUUUGCUCUCCCGAUAGAUUAAAAGAGAUGGAGUGGGCCAUAGAGAGGAAAGAAAGGGAAGAAAGAAGGGGAAAUAUAGUAGUGAGAGGAGCGAGACUUGAAAAGGGAAGAGAAAAGGAAGAGUUGAAAAAGAUUUUGCAGCUGAUAGGGGUAGAGGUCGAGGUAAAGGAUAUGUGGGAGGUAGGCGCGAAAAAGGGGGGAGAAAAGGGGAUAUGGAUAGCAAGACUAGGAAAUAGGGAGCAAAAGAAGCAGGUAAUGGGAAGAAAAAGCCUACUCAAAGGGAGGGAGGAGAGAAUAGACGAGGAUCUCACCUGGGCA
Molecule: long non-coding RNA, 324 nt
Organism: Neodiprion fabricii
Lineage: Eukaryota; Metazoa; Arthropoda; Insecta; Hymenoptera; Diprionidae
Exons: 3
Source: RefSeq, a predicted model, not a curated record